UUUUGGCCACCUUCCCGAGCCCGGAUGCUCGGCCCGCUUUGAGGAAAGUUGAUCCUUGCGUCGAGCCCGUUGUUUUGAGUGAGUUUUACUCACUAAUGCCUUCUUAGUGCGCUAAUUAUACUUAAAGGUUGAUUAGUGUUAAUUAAGUGUAAUUAGGUUGUUAGAUUAGAAUUGAUUAGUGAUUAUUAGUUAAUUGGUUUGCAUAUUAGCUGUGUGAUUAGUGUAAUUAGAUAGAGAAUUGCCUAUAGUAUUUAUUGGAUGCUUCUUGGGAUUUUUCCCGUCCCUUAUCGGGUGUUAAUUAAGCGAUUCGGGCCUAGGUGGUAUUUUUAGGAAUUAAAUAUUAAUUUUGAAAUUAAUUAUUUAAUUAUUUAUUUCCCGGAAAUUCAACUGGGAUGGCCAGUGACCAGGAUUUUAUGUUGAUGAUCAUGGCGCAGUCCGUUUAUUUAAUUGAGUUUUAUAUUGUGCUAAAUUGAAUUUAUUGAAUUUAUUUAUUUAAUUUUCGAAAUUAAUUAUUUAAUUAUUUAUUUUCCGGAAAUUCAACCGGGAUGGCCGAUGACCGGAAUUUAUUUAUUUAAUUGAGCCCUAUUUCAUGCUGAAUUGAAUUAUUUGUGAAAGAAGGAAUUAUUCUUUAAUUGAAUAAUCUUUGGUUAUUAAUUGAAAAAGAACUGGGCUUCGGUUGAUAAUGCCAAAAGGAUCUGAGUGGGCUACAGAAAAUUGUGGAAUUUAUAAAAAGGAAAUUAUUAUGUUUUGGCUAAGGCCAAUCGAGUAUCCACUCAUGGCAUUUUAUCGGGAAUGAUAAAACUGGUUAUUUGAUUAUUUGCUUGGAACGGUAUGAUCUACCGGCUCGAUAACUCUACAGAGCAUCUGGAGACAGUACGGUAUGAUAAAUUGUGUGUAUAUCGGCUCGAUGACUCUACGGAGCAUCUGGAGACAGGACGGUAUGAUAAAUUGUGUGUAUACCGGCUCGAUGACUCCACGGAGCAUCUUGAGACAGGACGGUAUGAUCUACCGGCUUGGUGACUCUACAGAUUAUCUUGAGACAGUACGGUAUGAUAUACCGGCUCGAUAAUCCUAUAGAUCAUCUUGAGACAGUACGGUAUGAUAAAGGGUUGAUCAAGAGAUAAUUUGGAUGACAUGUAAUCGACUAGGUCGAUUGAUUGAUGAUUCGAUCUGAGUGUGACUUGAUGUGAUUCAUUACCUUGGGUUGAUGUUGUGAAUUGAAUGAUUGAAUGGAGAUGACCGUGAGUGGUCUUCCUGAUAUGAAAUCGACUAAGUCGAUUAGAUCGAUGUGUGCCUAUUCAAUCUGUGAUGUGAUUGCUUGGGUGCCUAUUUGAUUUGUGCUAAUAUGCAGGUGGAAUCUGAGGCCAAGGUAAGUCUUCUAACUCAUGUUGUGCAUAGGCAGCCCUAAGGUGUAUUAGUUUACUAAUCGGGUCUUAGAGGGUAGAACUUGCUGAGACGUUGUCUCAGUGGUUAUUGAAUAACCAUUUCAGGACCUGGAUGAGGAGCCUAAGGAGCAUGAAUCUGAUGAGGAGAUCCCUGUUGAGGAACCCGAAGAGGAGUACGUGGAGGAGGACCCCGAGUAUGACAUCAAGUACGACCCGGAUGAGGACUAAGAUCCCGUCCUGUCUUGUCAGACCUUGUUUGCAUGUGAAUAGAUGUUAGACCAGAGUUGCGUA
RNAcentral lists this long non-coding RNA (1676 nucleotides) under Eucalyptus grandis. RNAcentral's name for it is "long non-coding RNA (EGRA_LNC003613)". Lineage: Eukaryota; Viridiplantae; Streptophyta; Magnoliopsida; Myrtales; Myrtaceae. The record is from RNAcentral.